ACCGGGCACAGUGGUGCAUGCCUGUCGUCCUAGCUACUUAGGAGGCUGAGGCAGGAGGAUCACUUGAGACCAGGUGGGCAACAUAGCAAGACCCGGUCUAAA
RNAcentral lists this small RNA (102 nucleotides) under Marmota monax (woodchuck). The record is from RNAcentral. Lineage: Eukaryota; Metazoa; Chordata; Mammalia; Rodentia; Sciuridae.